GAGAGUAUAGCUAAAUGGUAGAGUGCAUGCUUAGCAUGCACAAGGUCCUGGGUUCAAUCCCUGGUACCUCCA
RNAcentral lists this transfer RNA (72 nucleotides) under Camelus bactrianus (Bactrian camel). It matches the Rfam family "tRNA". Rfam says of the family: Transfer RNA (tRNA) molecules are approximately 80 nucleotides in length. Lineage: Eukaryota; Metazoa; Chordata; Mammalia; Artiodactyla; Camelidae. The record is from Rfam by way of RNAcentral. RNAcentral also lists the same sequence under 2 other names.